RNAcentral lists this ribosomal RNA (450 nucleotides) under Streptococcus mutans. Its description in RNAcentral is "bacterial SSU rRNA". It matches the Rfam family "Bacterial small subunit ribosomal RNA", at positions 38 to 465 of the family's 1533-position model. Lineage: Bacteria; Bacillati; Bacillota; Bacilli; Lactobacillales; Streptococcaceae. The record is from RNAcentral.
GGCGGCGUGCCUAAUACAUGCAAGUGGGACGCAAGGAAACACACUGUGCUUGCACACCGUGUUUUCUUGAGUCGCGAACGGGUGAGUAACGCGUAGGUAACCUGCCUAUUAGCGGGGGAUAACUAUUGGAAACGAUAGCUAAUACCGCAUAAUAUUAAUUAUUGCAUGAUAAUUGAUUGAAAGAUGCAAGCGCAUCACUAGUAGAUGGACCUGCGUUGUAUUAGCUAGUUGGUAAGGUAAGAGCUUACCAAGGCGACGAUACAUAGCCGACCUGAGAGGGUGAUCGGCCACACUGGGACUGAGACACGGCCCAGACUCCUACGGGAGGCAGCAGUAGGGAAUCUUCGGCAAUGGACGAAAGUCUGACCGAGCAACGCCGCGUGAGUGAAGAAGGUUUUCGGAUCGUAAAGCUCUGUUGUAAGUCAAGAACGUGUGUGAGAGUGGAAAGUC